Acanthosepion pharaonis is the source of this 112-nucleotide non-coding RNA. The record is from the annotation of a GenBank genome assembly. Lineage: Eukaryota; Metazoa; Mollusca; Cephalopoda; Sepiida; Sepiidae.
GCAGCAACAUCAUGUUGAAACAUCGGUUCCUGUACAAUCACUGAAGUUAAGCAAUGUUUAGCCUGGUCAGUACCUAGAUUGGUGAGUGCCUGGGAAUACAAGAUGCUGUAGC